ACGGGAGGCAGCAGUGGGGAAUAUUGGGCAAUGGGCGAAAGCCUGACCCAGCGACGCCGCGUGAAGGAAGAAGGUCUUCGGAUUGUAAACUUCUUUUAUAUGGGACGAAACAAAUGACGGUACCAUAUGAAUAAGCCACGGCUAACUACGUGCCAGCAGCCGCGGUAAUACGUAGGUGGCGAGCGUUAUCCGGAUUUACUGGGUGUAAAGGGUGUGUAGGCGGGACUGUAAGUCAGAUGUGAAAUAUGCCGGCUCAACUGGCAGACUGCAUUUGAAACUGCGGUUCUUGAGUGAAGUAGAGGUAAGCGGAAUUCCUAGUGUAGCGGUGAAAUGCGUAGAUAUUAGGAGGAACAUCAGUGGCGAAGGCGGCUUACUGGGCUUUAACUGACGCUGAGGCUCGAAAGCGUGGGGAGCAAACAGGAUUAGAUACCCUGGUA
This 437-nucleotide ribosomal RNA is filed under the name uncultured Clostridium sp. RNAcentral's name for it is "partial 16S ribosomal RNA". It matches the Rfam family "Bacterial small subunit ribosomal RNA", at positions 341 to 792 of the family's 1533-position model. Lineage: Bacteria; Bacillati; Bacillota; Clostridia; Eubacteriales; Clostridiaceae. The record is from RNAcentral.